Molecule: non-coding RNA, 155 nt
Filed under: Clostridium massiliodielmoense
Lineage: Bacteria; Bacillati; Bacillota; Clostridia; Eubacteriales; Clostridiaceae
Source: RNAcentral
UUAUGAACUGGUGAAAAGGGAAGAUGGGUGAAAGUCCCACACGGUCCCGCCGCUGUAAGAGAGAAGUUUUUCUACAUGAAACCACUGAUAUCUUAAUAUAUUGGGAAGGGUGGAAAAGUGAUGAUACUCAAGUCAGAAGACCUGCCUAUUUUUGU